GGAUUCCGGAAGGGGCUGAGCAGUUGUGGCGGCGGUUUGUGUGUUGCUGGUUAGUGCUUCUUCCCCGCCGGAGCGACGGGAUAAAGGCGGCGUCAUGGUCGAGCUUGGCGUUGAUGAGACUAUCCAGUCAUUUGUGCUCUGGCUAGGAAUAUAACACAAAAACUCACACGCUUGAAUCAUUGCUUCUUCCUAUUUUACAAUAAACUUUCUUCCCAUGUUUUUAUUUCUAAAAUGAACAAUUUGAGAUCUUAGGAGGUAAAAUGCAGAUAUCAAGCAUAUGGAAGUUUGUUGAACAGAACUAUUCCAAAGAUAGAAUAUUGUGUCACUUUCAUUAAACCACACUUUUAUUUUCUUUUUCCUUUUUUAAAAUUAAAUCUACCAAACUUAUUGCUACAGUAGGGCAUGUUUUGAGGGGAACAGUCUUUUUUAAAAGCCCUUUCAAAACUGGUACCUGUGACUAAUAAUGUGGGAUUAAAGGAUCUGAAGUCUGAGUUUAACUUCUCUUCUGCACCAGAAACUGUUUAGGAAGUAGACAAGUGAGAUGUGUCCUUGAAGACAUCCACUUCAGUAGCCGUUUAUAGAAAUGCUGUCUUCGUGGAGGCACAGGGAAAAGCUGGGGUGGCACGGCGGGGAAGCCCAGUUAUUUUGCCUGGGAAGGACUGUGGGAGACCUCCUUGCAUCAGUGGUGUUGGAGCUGACCCCUGAGAGAUCAGAGAGGGAAAAGGGUUUUCCAGGGUGAGGUGUGACCUGAAAAACCAGACAUGGGAAAGUUGUGUGGUUUCAGGAGCAGAAUUGUCUGCUGCUGCUGCUGAAAGAAUAGCUGCCUGGUGGCAGGGAAAGCUGUGUUUGGCGGUUUCAGUUUUAUUCCAGAAGCGGGUUGCUAAUAUCGGUAUCAAAGCCUGGAGAAAUAACUAGAGCUAGCAGUGGAGGCCUCUGAAGCUGUAGCAAGGACUACGAUCUUUUGUGAAGACUUGAUAGUAAAGUGCUUUUGAUACCAGCCUCUUGCUGGUACAUACAAGUUUUAUAAACCCUGUCCUUCAGUUCCUGAUGCCCUUUCAGUCAAGGAAAUCUCACACUCACCUUCUGUCAUUAGAGACCACAAUUACAAGAAGUUUAAAAUUUGUUUCGAAUUUAAAAGUUAGACCGCAAUUUUGAAUGAGUAUUUCCAAACUAUACAUGUCCCAUUUGCAUGCUGUAGGUGGGAAUAUAGCUGUUACAACCUUGAGGAGGAUAGUUUUUCCAGAGUAUAUUGAAAAUGCUUGGACUCUUAACUCUUCAUUAGAAAUGAAAUUACUAGGAAACUGCCUGAUAGGAAAAAUCUGACAAGGGUACACAAGCAAGUUCAUUGUACAUUUGUAUUUUAAUGAAAACUAGCCCAGGAGUUGCCAUUAUGGCUCAGAGGAAACGAAUCCAACUACUAACCAUGAGGAUGUGGCUUCCCUCCCUGGCCUCCCUCAGUGGGUUAAGGAUCGGGCAUUGCCGUGAGCUGUUGAGUAUGUCACAGAUGUAGCUCGGGUCCUAUGUUGCUAUGGCUGCAGUGUAGGCUGGUGGCUGUAGUUCCAGUUAAACCCCUAGCCUGGAACCUCAUAUUCCACGGGUGCAGCUCUAUAAAAGAAAAACAAAAAACAAAACUAGCCCACAUGUCCUAUUAAUAAGGGCAUGGUAUAAUAGAUUAUGGUACCUUCCUUCAGGUUCUUUCCUUGAAGAGUGAGAAAUAUCUCUGGAAUAAUAUGUCCAAACUUUACUCUUAAAAAGUUGUGCGAGCAUUUUUUUUUUUUUUUUUUUUUGGUAAAAUAACUUGUUCUAAAAAAUUGUGGAGAGGUAACACCCAUUGUUAUCAGUGGCUCUAUGAGGGAGUGGAAUUAUGGCAGAACUUUCAUGAUUGGCUUUAUAUAUUUCUAUAAUGUUUUAAUUUUCUAUAAGCAUGUAUUUUGUAAACUUAAAUAAAGAAAAAAGCCCACUACAUUUGAUCCCUGAGAGAUUCUAAUAUGCCUAAGAGGAAAAAUCAUGGAGGUGAUCAGUAUUCCAAAGCUUAGCCCAAAGGCCAAGGAGAAUUCACUACAACGAAGAGGUGAGAGCGGUGGCCCCUGCUAACCUGUCCAGCAAAGCUUCAGCUUGUGUGUUUGUUAGACAUAAGUGUCAAAUUCCAAAGAACUUGAAAAAAAAAUCCAUUUCCCUGCUUCAUUCUGCGCUGUGUUACGGUGCUCUUGAAUCCUCUUGCAGAAAGUUCAUCUACCAUGUAGUCAUGAGCCCCGUGAAAUUUUAAGCAGAAAUUCAUGCAUGUUCCUUUCUUGGAACCUCAACCCAGGUUAAACCUCAGUCUCCUCCUCUGCCUAUGCCUUGGGUACUCAAGCUGUAAAUAGAGAAAGAUUGCCUCUUUAUGCAAUUGUUGGCUCAGACUGCUUCUGCAAUUAACCGCUUUCCCUUCUGCACCAUAAAUCCCUUUUCUUGUUGCCAAAUGAGUCUCAUCAUCAAAUAUGUUGUAUUUAAAUAAUUAUUAAAUAAGUGUUUAAUU
RNAcentral lists this long non-coding RNA (2515 nucleotides) under Sus scrofa (pig). RNAcentral's name for it is "lncRNA (ENSSSCG00000054362.1)". The record is from RNAcentral. Lineage: Eukaryota; Metazoa; Chordata; Mammalia; Artiodactyla; Suidae.